UGGGUGACAUGUAAACAGUUUUGAUUGAGGGCCGUUUGGAUUAGAGGGUUUUAUAUAUGGAGAUACUUUGGAGCACAGUUGGUUCCUGUUAGAAAAUCACAAAUUUUUAUUAAUAAUGGACCAGCAGGAAAGUAGCAUUCAUAACAAAAUUAUUGUAAAUUCAUACUGCUCCCAAUCCCACAUGAGACUGAAUUAGUCACUAAUGAAAGUGUCAAGAUAAUGUUGAGGAAUGAUUGGAGCCUCGCCAGCCUACACAUCACAAGUGGAUGGAGCUUCACACCAAUUUACCCAACAACCAGCUCAGGAACCCCC
Molecule: long non-coding RNA, 312 nt
Filed under: Setaria viridis
Lineage: Eukaryota; Viridiplantae; Streptophyta; Magnoliopsida; Poales; Poaceae
Description: long non-coding RNA (SVIR_LNC002161)
Source: RNAcentral